GAUGAACGCUGGCGGCGUGCCUAAUACAUGCAAGUCGAGCGAACAGACGAGGAGCUUGCGCCUCGGACGUUAGCGGCGGAGGGGUGAGUAACACGUGGAUAACCUACCUAUAAGACUGGGAUAACCUCGGGAAACCGGAGCUAAUACCGUAGAAUAUAUUGAACCGCAUGGGGCAAUAGUAAGAGACGGUGGUGGGGUCAGUAAUAGAUGGAUCCGCGCGGCAUGAGCUAGUUGGUCAGCUAACGGCUUACUAAGGCAACGAUGCGUAGACGAGCUCAGAGACUGAUCGCCGACCUUGGAACUGAGCCACCGUCAAGACUCCUACGGUACGCAGCAGUCGCCAAUCUUACGCAAUGGGCGAAAGCCUGACGCAGUAACGCCGAGCCAGUUACGACGGUCCUCCGAUCGUAAAACUCUCUUUCUAGGGAAGAACCACUGUCUCCGUAACCAUGCCCGUCUUGACGGUAACUAAUCAGAAAGCCCCGGCUAACUACGUG
This 497-nucleotide ribosomal RNA is filed under the name uncultured bacterium. RNAcentral describes it as "partial 16S ribosomal RNA". It matches the Rfam family "Bacterial small subunit ribosomal RNA", at positions 28 to 507 of the family's 1533-position model. The record is from RNAcentral.